AAUAAAGUGCCUGAUAAAAGGAUUAUUCUGAUAGAGUAAAUUAUGUAGAAUUCUACCUUUAUUA
This 64-nucleotide transfer RNA is filed under the name unidentified. RNAcentral describes it as "Celypha sp. DX-2020 tRNA-Ile". The record is from RNAcentral.